This 468-nucleotide ribosomal RNA is filed under the name uncultured bacterium. RNAcentral describes it as "partial 16S ribosomal RNA". It matches the Rfam family "Bacterial small subunit ribosomal RNA", at positions 28 to 507 of the family's 1533-position model. The record is from RNAcentral.
GACGAACGCUGGCGGCGUGCUUAACACAUGCAAGUCGAACGGAAAGGCCCUGCUUUUGUGGGGUGCUCGAGUGGCGAACGGGUGAGUAACACGUGAGUAACCUGCCCUUGACUUUGGGAUAACUUCAGGAAACUGGGGCUAAUACCGGAUAGGAGCUCCUGCUGCAUGGUGGGGGUUGGAAAGUUUCGGCGGUUGUGGAUGGACUCGCGGCUUAUCAGCUGGUUGGUGGGGUAGUGGCUUACCAAGGCUUUGACGGGUAGCCGGCCUGAGAGGGUGAACGGCCACAUUGGGCCUGAGGUACGCCCCAGACUCCUACGGGAGGCAGCGGUGGGGAAUAUUGCAGAAUGGGGGGACGCCUGAUGCAGCAACGCCGCGUGCGGGAUGACGGCUUUCGGGUUAUAAACCGCUUUCGCCUGUGACGAAGCGUGAGUGACGGUAAUGGGUAAAGAAGCACCGGCUAACUACGUG